CCUACGGGAGGCAGCAGUGGGGAAUCUUAGACAAUGGGCGCAAGCCUGAUCUAGCCAUGCCCGCGUGUGUGAUGAAGGUCUUAGGAUCGUAAAGCACUUUCGCCAGGGAUGAUAAUGACAGUACCUGGUAAAGAAACCCCGGCUAACUCCGUGCCAGCAGCCGCGGUAAUACGGAGGGGGUUAGCGUUGUUCGGAAUUACUGGGCGUAAAGCGUACGUAGGCGGAUUGGAAAGUUGGGGGUGAAAUCCCAGGGCUCAACCCUGGAACUGCCUCCAAAACUAUCAGUCUAGAGUUCGAGAGAGGUGAGUGGAAUUCCAAGUGUAGAGGUGAAAUUCGUAGAUAUUUGGAGGAACACCAGUGGCGAAGGCGGCUCACUGGCUCGAUACUGACGCUGAGGUACGAAAGUGUGGGGAGCAAACAGGAUUAGAUACCCUGGUAGUCCACACCGUAAACGAUGAAUGCCAGUCGUCGGGCAGUAUACUGUUCGGUGACACACCUAACGGAUUAAGCAUUCCGCCUGGGGAGUACGGUCGCAAGAUUAAAACUCAUAGGAAUUGACGG
This 561-nucleotide ribosomal RNA is filed under the name uncultured bacterium. Its description in RNAcentral is "bacterial SSU rRNA". It matches the Rfam family "Bacterial small subunit ribosomal RNA", at positions 338 to 916 of the family's 1533-position model. The record is from RNAcentral.